RNAcentral lists this ribosomal RNA (492 nucleotides) under uncultured bacterium. Its description in RNAcentral is "partial 16S ribosomal RNA". It matches the Rfam family "Bacterial small subunit ribosomal RNA", at positions 29 to 507 of the family's 1533-position model. The record is from RNAcentral.
AGUGAACGCUGGCGGUAGGCCUAACACAUGCAAGUCGAACGGCAGCACAGUAAGAGCUUGCUCUUACGGGUGGCGAGUGGCGGACGGGUGCGGAAUACAUCGGAAUCUACUUUUUCGUGGGGGAUAACGUCGGGAAACUUACGCUAAUACCGCAUACGCCCUACGGGUGAAAGCCGGGGAUUUUCCGACCUUGCGCGAUUGAAUGAGCCGAUGUCGGAUUAGCUAGUUGGCGGGGUAAAGGCGCACCAAGGCGACGAUCCGUAGCUGGUCUGAGAGGAUGAUCAGCCACACUGGAACUGAGACACGGUCCAGACUCCUACGGGAGGCAGCAGUGGGGAAUAUUGGACAAUGGGCGCAAGCCUGAUCCAGCCAUACCGCGUGGGUGAAGAAGGCCUUCGGGUUGUAAAGCUCUUUUGUUGGGAAAGAAAAGCAGCAGGUUAAAACCCCGCUGUUCUGACGGUACCCAAAGAAUAAGCACCGGCUAACUUCGUG